Lolium perenne is the source of this 94-nucleotide small nucleolar RNA. RefSeq annotates it as small nucleolar RNA Z119. The record is from RefSeq and is a predicted model, not a curated record. NCBI's taxonomy places the organism in Eukaryota, Viridiplantae, Streptophyta, Magnoliopsida, Poales, Poaceae.
UUUGGGAUGUGAUGAUUAUCAGAGGCUGUUUCUGAGGAUGAGCCUAGAGCUCCCCCUGUGCUGCAAAUUAACUGAUAUCUAUUCUGAUCCAAAC